GAUGAACGCUGGCGGCGUGCCUAAUACAUGCAAGUCGAGCGAACAGACGAGGAGCUUGCUCCUCUGACGUUAGCGGCGGACGGGUGAGUAACACGUGGAUAACCUACCUAUAAGACUGGGAUAACUUCGGGAAACCGGAGCUAAUACCGGAUAAUAUAUUGAACGGCAGGGUUCAAUAGUGAAAGCCGGUUUUGCUGUACCUUCUAGAUGGAUCCGCGCCGCAUUAGCUAGUGGUUAAGGUAACGGCUUACCAAGGCGACGAGGCGUAGCCCACCUGAGAGGGUGAUCGGCCACACUGGAACUGAGACACGGUCCAGACUCCUACGGGAGGCAGCAGUAGGGAAUCUUCCGCAAUGGGCGAAAGCCUGACGGAGCAACGCCGCGUGAGUGAUGAAGGUCUUCGGAUCGUAAAACUCUGUUAUUAGGGAAGAACAAAUGUGUAAGUAACUAUGCACGUCUUGACGGUACCUAAUCAGAAAGCCACGGCUAACUACGUG
This 497-nucleotide ribosomal RNA is filed under the name uncultured bacterium. Its description in RNAcentral is "partial 16S ribosomal RNA". It matches the Rfam family "Bacterial small subunit ribosomal RNA", at positions 28 to 507 of the family's 1533-position model. The record is from RNAcentral.